AUUGAACGCUGGCGGCAGGCCUAACACAUGCAAGUCGAACGGCAGCACAGAAGAGCUUGCUCUUUGGGUGGCGAGUGGCGGACGGGUGAGUAAUGUCUGGGAAACUGCCCGAUGGAGGGGGAUAACUACUGGAAACGGUAGCUAAUACCGCAUAACGUCGCAAGACCAAAGUGGGGGACCUUCGGGCCUCACACCAUCGGAUGUGCCCAGAUGGGAUUAGCUAGUAGGUGGGGUAAUGGCUCACCUAGGCGACGAUCCCUAGCUGGUCUGAGAGGAUGACCAGCCACACUGGAACUGAGACACGGUCCAGACUCCUACGGGAGGCAGCAGUGGGGAAUAUUGCACAAUGGGCGCAAGCCUGAUGCAGCCAUGCCGCGUGUAUGAAGAAGGCCUUCGGGUUGUAAAGUACUUUCAGCGGGGAGGAAGGCGGUGAGGUUAAUAACCUUGCCGAUUGACGUUACCCGCAGAAGAAGCACCGGCUAACUCCGUGCCAGCAGCCGCGGUAAUACGGAGGGUGCAAGCGUUAAUCGGAAUUACUGGGCGUAAAGCGCACGCAGGCGGUCUGUUAAGUCAGAUGUGAAAUCCCCGGGCUUAACCUGGGAACUGCAUUUGAAACUGGCAGGCUUGAGUCUCGUAGAGGGGGGUAGAAUUCCAGGUGUAGCGGUGAAAUGCGUAGAGAUCUGGAGGAAUACCGGUGGCGAAGGCGGCCCCCUGGACGAAGACUGACGCUCAGGUGCGAAAGCGUGGGGAGCAAACAGGAUUAGAUACCCUGGUAGUCCACGCCGUAAACGAUGUCGACUUGGAGGUUGUGCCCUUGAGGCGUGGCUUCCGGAGCUAACGCGUUAAGUCGACCGCCUGGGGAGUACGGCCGCAAGGUUAAAACUCAAAUGAAUUGACGGGGGCCCGCACAAGCGGUGGAGCAUGUGGUUUAAUUCGAUGCAACGCGAAGAACCUUACCUGGCCUUGACAUCCAGAGAACUUAGCAGAGAUGCUUUGGUGCCUUCGGGAACUCUGAGACAGGUGCUGCAUGGCUGUCGUCAGCUCGUGUUGUGAAAUGUUGGGUUAAGUCCCGCAACGAGCGCAACCCUUAUCCUUUGUUGCCAGCGGUUCGGCCGGGAACUCAAAGGAGACUGCCGGUGAUAAACCGGAGGAAGGUGGGGAUGACGUCAAGUCAUCAUGGCCCUUACGGCCAGGGCUACACACGUGCUACAAUGGCGCAUACAAAGAGAAGCGACCUCGCGAGAGCAAGCGGACCUCAUAAAGUGCGUCGUAGUCCGGAUUGGAGUCUGCAACUCGACUCCAUGAAGUCGGAAUCGCUAGUAAUCGUAGAUCAGAAUGCUACGGUGAAUACGUUCCCGGGCCUUGUACACACCGCCCGUCACACCAUGGGAGUGGGUUGCAAAAGAAGUAGGUAGCUUAACCUUCGGGAGGGCGCUUACCACUUUGUGAUUCAUGACUGGGGUG
Molecule: ribosomal RNA, 1464 nt
Filed under: Pantoea dispersa
Lineage: Bacteria; Pseudomonadati; Pseudomonadota; Gammaproteobacteria; Enterobacterales; Erwiniaceae
Also listed under: 4 other names
Description: bacterial SSU rRNA
Rfam family: Bacterial small subunit ribosomal RNA
Source: RNAcentral